Glossina fuscipes is the source of this 1181-nucleotide long non-coding RNA. RefSeq lists it as uncharacterized. The record is from RefSeq and is a predicted model, not a curated record. NCBI's taxonomy places the organism in Eukaryota, Metazoa, Arthropoda, Insecta, Diptera, Glossinidae. The transcript has 3 exons.
UAACUGGUCUUUUUUUGUUUUUUUUUUGGUAUGUUGAACAAGGAGAUGGACUAAGUUCAACAUACUUAACUGGUCCAAUCCAUCUCUAAACAAACAAAAAAAAAAAAAAAAAAAUUAUCAAUUUAUAAACAAACAAAUUGGUCGUGCAAUACCAUGAUCAGCUGUUUUCCCAAGAAAAAAUAUUAAAUUAUUUAGGAAAAGAUGUAAAAAUUUUUUUUUGAAUAAACGCAAUUAUUAAAAUCAAGUAAAAAAGCUGUAAUUUGAAGAACGUUUUCGGAUUAAAAUUAUAAGAUUGCAUUUGUGGUUAGAAGACGGAAAAAUUGAAACGAUAUUAAUAGGAAAAAGAAACUAGUGAAAAUUGCCCAAAAACUCGAAAAGAAAAAUGUUUCGGAGUCGGAGUUGGUUUAGUGGCGCUUGGAAGAAACCAAAAACCGUUUAUCGUUGGAACAUCUAAAAUAUUUAUCUAGUAUUUUAGAAAGAAAUACAGCGGUAUCCGAGUGUAAUAGGGGUUUACUGGUAGAAGAGAAGUAUAGCAGUUCGGUUUUCCACUUUUUCCUAGAGAAAAAUAUGUUAUCAAACUUUUUGCAUAUAAUGCGUCAAAAAAGUGGAAGUUCCAGUUUUGUAUAUGUUCAAUUAUUACAAACUUUAAAAUAUACGUAAUGACACUUCAUUAUAUUAUUUGUUAAGUAACAAUCACGUAAACUCAAUAAUCGUGCAUAAAUUUGACUUUUCUAAUGAAGAUGUUAUGGGUUAUUAUAUUGCAUAUUUUAUUUGUAGCGAUGAUACAAGAACCGUCCGUAACAUUUAGUUACAUUUAUUUAAUAGAAAUAUGUAUUUUGCGCAUAGUAUGCAAAUAUUUUCAAACAUAUACGCAACGAUCUGAAUGUCAAGAAUGGCAAUAUUAAAUUACGAGAAAAAUGAUUAAAGUUAAAUAAUAAUCAAAUUACCUUUGGUUGCCAUUUAUUUUCAUUUUGCCAUAUAAGUCCAUUAAGAAACGAUUAACCCGUGUUCGCCCCAGCAGUCGAUAUAUUUUAUUUAAGUUCUCUUUAGCACUAAUAUGAGUUAUCGAAAGUCGAAAUCUUCACAAAACAAUAGCAAUAUAUCGGUGGCUACUUAUAUAUGUAGCAUAAUCGAGCUGAGUUGCCAUUGCUCAUCAGGCGAAAGGUUCGCGCAACUUCAUC